UAGCCAAGACACCAGACCACCCUCAAC
RNAcentral lists this non-coding RNA (27 nucleotides) under Mus musculus (house mouse). Lineage: Eukaryota; Metazoa; Chordata; Mammalia; Rodentia; Muridae. The record is from RNAcentral.